AGUCGUAACAAGGUUUCCCAACGUAAGUUGGAGGACAGUGAUCCUUCCGCAGUGCACUUACAGAAGCCUUAGCAGGGCCAGUAUGGCCGGCAACGCGCGACUAUAAACAAUGAUGGAGGCCGCCCAACCAACGUGGUGGGGCUUGCUAGUUGGCUCCGGCCGGCAACACUAUCGAAUUGCGGGGACACCCUAAAGGCACGCGACACGACCCCGACCGCGAAAGCAGUUGGGCCACGUUACAGCACGCGAGCAUGAACCGGUCCGCCGGGGAAAUGGGCAAUCCGCAGCCAAGGGCCUACGGCACAUGUUGCUAUGGUCAAGGUUCACAGACUAAGUGGUAGUGGGUGUGGUUAGCAGCCAUGCUUAAGAUAUAGUCGGGCCCUGGGGGAAACCCCGAGGAGAAGCACGCGCAAUCGCAAGGUACGUUCGUGCCACAACCGUUCCGUAGGUGAACCUGCGGAAGGAUCAUUAACAGGUGGAGCAGGCCUCGCGCUUGCACCUCCCUCCCUUUGCAUACCGUCAACCGUUGCUCGAGCCGGUGGCCUCCGGGCCCCGGCGAGAGACCACAACCACUCUUUUCUGGAUCGUCUGAGUAAACAUACAAUAGAAUAAAACUUUCAACAACGGAUCUCUUGGUUCCGGCAUCGAUGAAGAACGCAGCGAAAUGCGAUAACUAGUGUGAAUUGCAGAUUUACGUGAAUCAUCGAGUCUUUGAACGCACAUUGCNNUCCNUGGNCUUNCAGGGAGCAUGUCUAUCCNAGGCGUCGUUGCAACUCUCAAGCCUGGCUUGGUCCUGNAGAGCNNCCCNNCNCGGGCCCUCCCAAACGCAACUCACGUCGUGCCAUCUCGGUCGGAGCGCAGCAGAUUUGCAGCCCCGUCCGGGCGUCGUCGCGAGCCGCCUCCGUGCGGAUUCUCAAGGUUGACCUCGGAUUAGAUAAGGAUACCCGCUGAACUUAAGCAUACCAAUAAGCGGAGGAAAAGAAACCAACAGGGAUUGCCUCAGUAACGGCGAGUGAAGCGGCAACAGCUCAAAUUUGAAAUCUGGCGCCCCUGGGCGUCCGAGUUGUAAUUUGCAGAGGAUGCUUCGGUAUCGGCGCUGCUCCAGGUUCUUUGGAACAGGACGCCACAGAGGGUGAGAGCCCCGUCUCUGGGCGGCAGUCGAUACCAUGUGAAGCGCCUUCGACGAGUCGAGUUGUUUGGGAAUGCAGCUCAAAAUGGGAGGUAAAUUUCUUCCAAGGCUAAAUACAGGCCGGAGACCGAUAGCGCACAAGUAGAGUGAUCGAAAGAUGAAAAGUACUUUGGAAAGAGAGUCAAACAGCGCGUGAAAUUGUUGAAAGGGAAGCGCUUGCAGUCAGACUUGGCCGCCCGGUUCGGCGGGGUCUCGCACCCCGUCUACGCCGUGGCGAUCAGGCCAGCAUCGGUUCGGACGACUGGAUAAAGGCCACGGGAACGUAGCUCCCCUCGGGGAGUGUUAUAGCCCGCGGCACAAUACGGCCAGUCCGGACCGAGGAACGCGCAUCUGCUCGGAUGCUGGCGUAAUGGCUGCAAGCGGCC
This 1554-nucleotide ribosomal RNA is filed under the name uncultured fungus. RNAcentral's name for it is "eukaryotic LSU rRNA". The stretch from base 921 to 1554 matches the Rfam family "Eukaryotic large subunit ribosomal RNA", at positions 1 to 649 of the family's 3401-position model. Lineage: Eukaryota; Fungi. The record is from RNAcentral.